Long non-coding RNA from Neofelis nebulosa (Clouded leopard), 2520 nucleotides. RefSeq lists it as uncharacterized. The record is from RefSeq and is a predicted model, not a curated record. The transcript has 2 exons. NCBI's taxonomy places the organism in Eukaryota, Metazoa, Chordata, Mammalia, Carnivora, Felidae.
CGGAACCUGCCAGAAACCACAUCUUGCUAGAGAGGCUAGAGAGGGUGGGGUGGCCCCCGUCAUCCUCCCAACCCCGGGAGCUCAUGUAGUUCCUUAUCGUUUUAGCCCCUAUGACUUGGGAAAAAUUCUCAAGGUGACCCUUAUGGUAAAAUUAACUUGGAAUACAACUGCUUCUCAUCUUAAGUCAAUGUAUGAAUUAGUAUUUUCCAUUCUUUUUUCUAUUUUUUCUUUUUGCUGAUGGUCUUAACAAAUUAGGAUUGCCUUUUAAAUAAGUUUGAAGGUGUCCUCUCCCAUGUCUCUCAUCAAAGUCUUGUGGUUUUCAUUGCCCAGAUCUUUUCAUUUCUUCGGUUAAAUUUAUUUCUAAGUAUUUCAUUGUUUUUGGUGCUAUUAUGAAUGGGAUAGUUUUCUUUAUUUUUUUUUCUGAUGUUUUGUUUUUAGCGUAUGGAAACACCAUUGAUUUCUGCAUGUUGGUUUUAUGUCCUGCAACUUUACGAUGAAUUCAUUGAUUACUUACAACCGUGUUUAGGUUGAUUCUUUAGGACUUUCUACAUUUAAGGCCACUCAGCUCUGCCAAGUGAACACUAAUCCAGCCCAUUGAAGAAGUAUCAGGCCAUACACAGAGAACACCACUAAGUGACUGACCGAGCACACUCAACACCUCUUCUGUGACUAAGUCACCUGUCGCCAGGUCUGGUACAACCAAGGAGCCAGCGGUGCCAUGAACAGCCUCACCUUCCGGGCUGUGGUAUGAUCUUCAUUGGAACAGAGAGGAGAUACUACCAACGAAAUUCUUACACGGAAGAGCCGAUAGGGCUUGUCUAGUAGCUAACUUACUACCAGGGACAAGCAAGUCAUGUGGCAUUCAGGUUGACGUUAGGUGGAAUAAAUGGCCCUCUUCAACGGAGGAACUCAUUGUAUAUGCAAAAUUCCAUGGGGAUCUUCAAAUAGUACAAAUGCCGAAUUUCUGUUCCAUUGUGCCCAGAAAUACAUUAAUACCUAAGGAUCGUGUAUCCCUGGUUUUCAUCCUGAAAUGUUAGCACAGUAAUUAUGCAGGAUCCAGUAAUAGAAAAUUAACCCAUGUGGCUAAUUCUAGAACACUAUGCUGACCAGGUGUGUGGCAACUACACCUAGAAAGGCUAUUUCAAGAGGCGUAUCUGUCUUUUGCCAAAAGUCGUAAGAGUUCUGUGAUGAUCUAAAUUGCCACAUCAGCCUUUUUUCACCUUCCUGUUUCUUCCCGAGGAAACAAGUGCCUUUCUAUUGCCAGCCUCCCCUCUGUGAGUGACUGUGACAACACAGAGUGUCCUUCCUUACCCUUGAAACAAGAAGAGGUUGACAUAAUUGUAGCUCUUGGUGAGGAAGUUUCCAAGGACUCGCGUUGGGUAGCCGCAACGGAUUUGGUAGGCAGACAACCCAAAGUAAACACAUUUCACAAAGUACCAAAGCUGAGCGACCAGGUUCUGGCUGAAUUUCCUAAAGCGCAAAAACAUAAAAGUGAAAUAAUGGAAUAUUCUUCUGGUAUAAGAGCAUACCAGUUUAGGAUUCAAAAAAAAAAAAAAAAAAAGUCGAAUUGCCCCUCUGGCAGGUAGAGCCAGUUCAGUCAAUUGUAAGGAAUUCUCUGCACCUAGUAGUAGAUCACUUCGAAGGCAAACAGUAGGGUAAGAAAGUCUAAUAAUUAAAAAAAAUUCUACAAAUGGUGCCUCCAAUGUGUUAGUGCAUAAUUCAGUUGUUUAGGCCAUGAAUAAACUAAUUUCUUUUUAAGCGAAUUUACUAAUGAACAUUUUCUCACAAUGUGAAAGAUGCUGCUACCGUGAUCCAAAUUAAAGUUCAUCAAAAAGAUGUAUUUUUUUUUUUUACUUCAAAGGACCUGUCAUUUGGAAGGUGUAGGAGGAGGUAUCCUGAGGAAUGAAUUCCCCCUUUUUUUGCUAUCCAUCUAUAAAGGCAGGUCGUGGAUUAACAAAGUUUCAACACCCUUGGUUCCAGUUGUGUUUAUAACCUAUUGCGUUUGUUCCUCAAGCCAUCAUGCUCAAGACAUCUGUCUUCAUUUGAAGACUUUCCCUAGCUCUGAAAAUCUAUGAUUCCAUGAUCUCACAUUCUUUUCUCCAAUGACAUCUUCAGCAGUCGAAAUGCUAGUCCCUUUUGCCAAGACUUCUGUACCAUCUUCCCUGGGUUUAAAGUUAAGAGCAACACUUAAAGCUUCCUCUUUAUUCCUCUUUAUGUUUCAGAUUCGUCGUCUUAACUUUUAAUUCUGACAUUAGAAGAAGACGUGUUAUUUUUUUUUAAACUGAAAAUACUAUUUAGUUGACCAGAUCUAAGAACCAGCCGGGGAUGCACUGGCCUAUGUAUCUCAGGGACCUAGGGACCUCUACGUGGAUCUCAACAACUGGAAAUCUUAAAAGUAGUUCUUAGAAGUGUCUUCCCCUGUAGAGAAACCAGCUUUGGUAUUUCAGGUCCUAAUGUGUUAAAUACACUUGACCAUGAUCUAGCACUUGACAAGUUAUUAAUAAACAUAUCAGAACUUUA